AAAUAUGUGGAAGUGAUUCUAGGUAUAUAUACCAUAGCUGUUAGCAGAUUCUCGAGCAAUUUCAUAUCUGAAACAAGCUAAGCAAAUAAGUUCCACCACUUUACCAGAACCCAUCAGUACCUCACAUUUAUAAGUUUUGAGUUGCCAUCGUGG
Molecule: long non-coding RNA, 153 nt
Organism: Hibiscus syriacus
Lineage: Eukaryota; Viridiplantae; Streptophyta; Magnoliopsida; Malvales; Malvaceae
Exons: 3
Source: RefSeq, a predicted model, not a curated record